ACUCAAAGGAAUUGACGGGGGCCCGCACAAGCGGUGGAGCAUGUGGUUCAAUUCGACGCAACGCGAAGAACCUUACCUGGGCUUGAACCGCGGACGACAAUUCUGGAAACAGGAUCUUCCUUCGGGACGUCCGUAGAGGUGCUGCAUGGCUGUCGUCAGCUCGUGUCGUGAGAUGUUGGGUUAAGUCCCGCAACGAGCGCAACCCUUGUCCCUAGUUGCCAGCGGGUGAUGCCGGGAACUCUAGGGAGACUGCCUCGGAAAACGAGGAGGAAGGUGGGGAUGACGUCAAGUCCUCAUGGCCUUUAUGUCCAGGGCUACACACGUGCUACAAUGGGCGGCACAAAGGGUUGCGAUGCCGCGAGGUGGAGCUAAUCCCAAAAAACCGUCCCCAGUUCGGAUUGCAGUCUGCAACUCGACUGCAUGAAGGUGGAAUCGCUAGUAAUCGCGGAUCAGCACGCCGCGGUGAAUACGUUCCCGGGCCUUGCACACACCGCCCGU
Molecule: ribosomal RNA, 498 nt
Filed under: uncultured bacterium
Lineage: Bacteria
Description: partial 16S ribosomal RNA
Rfam family: Bacterial small subunit ribosomal RNA
Source: RNAcentral